Molecule: RNase P RNA, 361 nt
Filed under: Saprospiraceae bacterium
Lineage: Bacteria; Pseudomonadati; Bacteroidota; Saprospiria; Saprospirales; Saprospiraceae
Description: RNase P RNA component class A
Rfam family: Bacterial RNase P class A
About the family: Ribonuclease P (RNase P) is a ubiquitous endoribonuclease, found in archaea, bacteria and eukarya as well as chloroplasts and mitochondria. Its best characterised activity is the generation of mature 5'-ends of tRNAs by cleaving the 5'-leader elements of precursor-tRNAs.
Source: RNAcentral
GCGUUCCCACGUCUCACCGCUCCCGGGCAACCGGGGGAGGAAAGUCCGGACAAUGUAGGGAAACCGCACCACUUAACAGGUGGCUCAGAAGAAGUUCUGAAGAGAUCGUGUCACAGAAAAUUACCGCCGGAAUUCCGUUCCGGUAAGGGUGAAAACGCGUGGUAAGAGCACGCGCACGUUGUGAGCAAUUGCAGCGUGGGAUAAACCUUGCGGAUUGAAAUGCCAUGUAUAUCCAUUGCCGUGAGGCCUCAUUUCCCUGGAGUGUCGCAAGACAGGUGGAGGGGUAGGCAGAGCAGAUAAAUGGUGAGAACACUGCGCUUGGCGCGGUGUACAGAAUCCGGCUUACAGUGGGAAUUUUUAA